UACGUAGGGUGCAAGCGUUGUCCGGAAUUAUUGGGCGUAAAGAGCUCGUAGGCGGCCUGUCACGUCGACUGUGAAAACCCGAGGCUCAACCUCGGGCCUGCAGUCGAUACGGGCAGGCUAGAGUUCGGUAGGGGAGACUGGAAUUCCUGGUGUAGCGGUGAAAUGCGCAGAUAUCAGGAGGAACACCGGUGGCGAAGGCGGGUCUCUGGGCCGAAACUGACGCUGAGGAGCGAAAGCGUGGGGAGCAAACAGG
Molecule: ribosomal RNA, 253 nt
Filed under: uncultured bacterium
Lineage: Bacteria
Description: partial 16S ribosomal RNA
Rfam family: Bacterial small subunit ribosomal RNA
Source: RNAcentral